UUGUCCUCAUUUGAUUAUUUUCCCUUUUUAACGAAACUCGUUAGUGCACGUGGGGGUGCGCUCAGACUACCACUGCGGCGUGUGGAAGGUCUGUGGCUGGAAGAAGCCGAAAGCCCUGGAGGUCGUCCAGACGGAGCAGAUGGCCACCUGCAUCAACGUCAGCCCCCAUCUUCCAGGAGAGCUGCUUGUUGCCACAGAGAGUGGAAGUGCGUAUCUGUGGACUGUUGGGAAAGGGCUGCAGAAGCUCCGGGCCGAAGCGGAGAACCUGUACUUCAAUGCCCAGUCGGCGUGGAGGUGGUGCGAUCACACCGCUCACCCCAGGAUCGUGAUUUACGCGGACAGGACGGGAGUGGAGCUCACGGACACGAGGGUGAGCCCUUCGUCCCCCGGUUCCAGUAGCCAAAACACUUCUUGGGGACCGAUCGUCAGACAAGUGGAAAUUAAGCUGAUGGGAUGCGCAGCCCUCAUUAAAAAAAAAUGGAGGCAGUUCUUUACACAGAGUUAUGAGUGUCUGAAAUAAGCCGCCAAUCCAUGUUGAGAAAGCAGAUUCCAUGGGACCCUGCAAGAACAGGCUAGAUAAGAUCCUCCAGUUUUCCAGUCUGUGGGCACGGCUCCCAUAGAGAGCUGAAAUAUGCUAGCUAGGAGUCUUAGAAUAUCAUCCCUCAUUUCCUUAAUUCUGACUGGAAAAUGCCAUCAGGCCCCAGGGAUUCAUUUAGGUUUUAGAAACGCAGACUAAUUUUAGACUUUGUUUUUGAAUUUUAUGAUACACAUCAAAAGAUACUGCGUCAUGGUCACAAUUUCCUAAAGAUUCUAUCACGUCUGUUCUCUUAAUUAUACCCCGGUUGUUUGAAAAGAUAAAAUCGAAAAGAGCAUCUUGUGCAGUUUUUGCUUUUCCAAACUGCAUUAAGAAGCAAAUCAUUAAGCAUGUCCAUCAUUUCAUUGGUCACCUUCUUUAUUCUUCAUGCCAGCAUCCCAAACUGUGCUCUAAAAAUGGGAAGUUCUUUGUCUGAAGCUUGGGGAUUUACAGGAAGUUCUUGUCAGUCUCCAGAACGUCACGGCCAGACUUUGUUUCGCAUUGGAGAGACUGCGGAGUGCAAGCAAAGGGAGAGAGUGAUUCUGCCCAGAUACCUCCGAGACGUCAAUGCCUACCACUAC
RNAcentral lists this long non-coding RNA (1155 nucleotides) under Lepisosteus oculatus (spotted gar). RNAcentral describes it as "lncRNA (ENSLOCG00000021100.1)". The record is from RNAcentral. Lineage: Eukaryota; Metazoa; Chordata; Actinopteri; Semionotiformes; Lepisosteidae.